AGGGAAGCUGUCUGGAGGCAGUGUGGCACCUGAAGAUGCUGGAGCUGCUGCUGUCAGGGAUGCACGCCCUGCCCAUUCAUCUGCCUUCUGCGCCGGGAGCCCCCGCAGAUGCGGAAGAUGCAGGGAAUGAUUCAGCCCCAGCCUUAAGAAAAAGAGGCACCGAAGAAGAUGAGUAAAGAGAAGCAGGGUUUCCUUUUUCCUCCCAAAUGAAUGAUUGAAAGAAGUAAGUUUCCCUUCAAUUUACAUUUCAGUUUGGGCCUUUAAAAG
RNAcentral lists this long non-coding RNA (267 nucleotides) under Cercocebus atys (sooty mangabey). Its description in RNAcentral is "lncRNA (ENSCATG00000045395.1)". The record is from RNAcentral. Lineage: Eukaryota; Metazoa; Chordata; Mammalia; Primates; Cercopithecidae.